This 244-nucleotide ribosomal RNA is filed under the name uncultured bacterium. Its description in RNAcentral is "partial 16S ribosomal RNA". It matches the Rfam family "Bacterial small subunit ribosomal RNA", at positions 111 to 354 of the family's 1533-position model. The record is from RNAcentral.
UAACGCGUGAGGAACCUGCCUUGGAGUGGGGAAUAACACACCGAAAGGGUGUGCUAAUACCGCAUAAAGCAGUGGAGAGGCAUCUCUCUACUGCCAAAGAUUUAUCGCUCUGAGAUGGCCUCGCGUCUGAUUAGCUAGUUGGUGGGGUAACGGCCUACCAAGGCGACGAUCAGUAGCCGGACUGAGAGGUUGACCGGCCACAUUGGGACUGAGACACGGCCCAGACUCCUACGGAAGGCAGCAG